This is a long non-coding RNA of Hemiscyllium ocellatum (epaulette shark), 705 nucleotides long. RefSeq lists it as uncharacterized. The record is from RefSeq and is a predicted model, not a curated record. The transcript is spliced from 3 exons. Lineage: Eukaryota; Metazoa; Chordata; Chondrichthyes; Orectolobiformes; Hemiscylliidae.
GCCGAGUUCGGUUGAUGCAAAGGUCGUUCAAACGUCCCUUGGCAGUUCUUGGUACCAGCUCCUCUUCGCAAAGUGCAUGUUGCUUCGGGAUUACUGAUGCAGGUCAUCUGUGCGUCGACGAAGGCUGUGAAGAGAUGAAGAGACAUCAAACAAGACGCGACCCGCGGCCAAUCCUCAGCGACACAAACCCCUCGCACCAAGAGCUGUAAACAUCGCCAGCACCGCCCCUCUGUGACCUCACACACGACGCCUCACAGCCAAUCGAAUCACCAGGUUUACUAACGUCAAAAUGAAUCAUUUGCAUAUAAUUAACGGCACCGCGUUUAUUUGCCCCACCCCAUCGCUGUCUCCGCCCCUUCUCCAGAAUGCCCGCCCCUUUCUACAGUGCGAAAGUGAAAGAUUGACUUGUGAAUGUGCUGCAGAAUGAAACCUGUUCGCAAUCCAUUGCUGCUUGUAAGCAGCAAAGAGCAGGAAAACAAUUUUGUAACAAGAGCUAGAAGUCUUCCUUUCUCUCAGUUUCUGUUAUCAUCACAGUGGACAGCAUGACAAAACAAAUUGGAGAAAUACUCAUUUACUGCAAAUGCAAAGAGAUCUACAAAUUUCACCACUGCUGGGGUAUGGGUCAACAAUUAAACAUCAGUGGUGUAAGAUGAAAAAUCUAAUGUCUUGAGAUUACCUAGGAUUUUUAAACUGUGUAACCUUUAU